Molecule: non-coding RNA, 203 nt
Filed under: Paenibacillus wynnii
Lineage: Bacteria; Bacillati; Bacillota; Bacilli; Caryophanales; Paenibacillaceae
Description: Lysine sequence
Rfam family: Lysine riboswitch aptamer
About the family: Riboswitches are metabolite binding domains within certain messenger RNAs that serve as precision sensors for their corresponding targets.
Source: Rfam by way of RNAcentral
CGAUGAGGUAGAGGUCGCGAAUAUUAAGAGUAGGCACGAGGAGACGUUAAGAGCCGUCUAUGAUCCGCUGCUGAAAGGAAUAUUUGCCGAAGCCUGUGCCGCCGUUCUUGCAGCGGCGCGGGCUGGGGCCGUUACCGAAAGGGACGGAACUGUCACGUUGUUACGCCUUAUCCAGGCUGACUGCGUGUUGCGCUAUCUUCACA